Molecule: ribosomal RNA, 496 nt
Filed under: uncultured bacterium
Lineage: Bacteria
Description: partial 16S ribosomal RNA
Rfam family: Bacterial small subunit ribosomal RNA
Source: RNAcentral
GAUGAACGCUGGCGGCGUGCCUAAUACAUGCAAGUCGAGCGAACAGACGAGGAGCUUGCUCCUCUGACGUUAGCGGCGGACGGGUGAGUAACACGUGGAUAACCUACCUAUAAGACUGGGAUAACUUCGGGAAACCGGAGCUAAUACCGGAUAAUAUAUUGAACCGCAUGGUUCAAUAGUGAAAGACGGUUUUGCUGUCACUUAUAGAUGGAUCCGCGCCGCAUUAGCUAGUUGGUAAGGUAACGGCUUACCAAGGCAACGAUGCGUAGCCGACCUGAGAGGGUGAUCGGCCACACUGGAACUGAGACACGGUCCAGACUCCUACGGGAGGCAGCAGUAGGGAAUCUUCCGCAAUGGGCGAAAGCCUGACGGAGCAACGCCGCGUGAGUGAUGAAAGUCUUCGGAUCGUAAAACUCUGUUAUUAGGGAAGAACAAAUGUGUAAGUAACUAUGCACGUCUUGACGGUACCUAAGCAGAAAGCCACGGCUAACUACGU